RNAcentral lists this ribosomal RNA (416 nucleotides) under uncultured bacterium. RNAcentral's name for it is "bacterial SSU rRNA". It matches the Rfam family "Bacterial small subunit ribosomal RNA", at positions 1001 to 1414 of the family's 1533-position model. The record is from RNAcentral.
CCGAAAGGCAGGAGUGCCUGCAAGGGAGCGCGGAGACAGGUGGUGCAUGGCUGUCGUCAGCUCGUGUCGUGAGAUGUUGGGUUAAGCCCCGCAACGAGCGCAACCCUCACCUCUUGUUGCCAUCAGGUCAUGCUGGGCACUCUAGAGGAACUGCCCCGGUCAACGGGGAGGAAGGCGGGGAUGACGUCAAGUCAUCAUGCCCCUUACGUCCUGGGCUACACACGUGCUACAAUGGCCGGUACAAAGGGAUGCCACACCGCGAGGUAGAGCUAAACCCAAAAAGCCGGUCUAAGUUCGGAUUGGAGUCUGCAACUCGACUCCAUGAAGGAGGAAUCGCUAGUAAUCGCGUAUCAGCACGACGCGGUGAAUACGUUCCCGGGCCUUGUACACACCGCCCGUCACACCACGAAAGCCAG